RNAcentral lists this ribosomal RNA (108 nucleotides) under Candidatus Vogelbacteria bacterium CG10_big_fil_rev_8_21_14_0_10_51_16. The record is from RNAcentral. Lineage: Bacteria; Candidatus Vogeliibacteriota.
GUUGGUGGUUUGACGCGGUGGGUACACCUGGUCCCAUUCCGAACCCAGUAGUUAAGCACCGUAGUGGCGAUGGUACUUCUUUGGAGGGAGAGUAGCUAGCCGCCAACA